AGUGAACGCUGGCGGUAGGCCUAACACAUGCAAGUCGAACGGCCGCACAGUAAGAGCUUGCUCUUACUGGUGGCGAGUGGCGGGCGGGUGAGGAAUACAUCGGAAUCUACUUUUUCGUGGGGGAUAACGUGGGGAAACUUACGCUAAUACCGCAUACGACCUACGGGUGAAAGCAGGAGAUCUUCGGACCUUGCGCGAUUGAAUGAGCCGAUGUCGGAUUAGCUAGUUGGCGGGGUAAAGGCCCACCAAGGCGACGAUCCGUAGCUGGUCUGAGAGGAUGAUCAGCCACACUGGAACUGAGACACGGUCCAGACUCCUACGGGAGGCAGCAGUGGGGAAUAUUGGACAAUGGGCGCAAGCCUGAUCCAGCCAUACCGCGUGGGUGAAGAAGGCCUUCGGGUUGUAAAGCCCUUUUGUUGGGAAAGAAAAGCAGCAGGUUAAUACCCCGCUGUUCUGACGGUACCCAAAGAAUAAGCACCGGCUAACUUCGUG
Molecule: ribosomal RNA, 492 nt
Filed under: uncultured bacterium
Lineage: Bacteria
Description: partial 16S ribosomal RNA
Rfam family: Bacterial small subunit ribosomal RNA
Source: RNAcentral